GAUGAACGCUGGCGGCGUGCUUAACACAUGCAAGUCGAACGAUGAAGCCCAGCUUGCUGGGUGGAUUAGUGGCGAACGGGUGAGUAACACGUGAGUAACCUGCCCUUAACUCUGGGAUAAGCCUGGGAAACUGGGUCUAAUACCGGAUAGGAGCGUCCACCGCAUGGUGGGUGUUGGAAAGAUUUAUCGGUUUUGGAUGGACUCGCGGCCUAUCAGCUUGUUGGAGAGGUAAUGGCUCACCAAGGCGACGACGGGUAGCCGGCCUGAGAGGGUGACCGGCCACACUGGGACUGAGACACGGCCCAGACUCCUACGGGAGGCAGCAGUGGGGAAUAUUGCACAAUGGGCGCAAGCCUGAUGCAGCGACGCCGCGUGAGGGAUGACGGCCUUCGGGUUGUAAACCUCUUUCAGUAGGGAAGAAGCGAAAGUGACGGUACCUGCAGAAGAAGCACCGGCUAACUACGUG
RNAcentral lists this ribosomal RNA (466 nucleotides) under uncultured bacterium. Its description in RNAcentral is "partial 16S ribosomal RNA". It matches the Rfam family "Bacterial small subunit ribosomal RNA", at positions 28 to 507 of the family's 1533-position model. The record is from RNAcentral.